Corapipo altera (White-ruffed manakin) is the source of this 99-nucleotide long non-coding RNA. RefSeq lists it as uncharacterized. The record is from RefSeq and is a predicted model, not a curated record. The transcript is spliced from 4 exons. NCBI's taxonomy places the organism in Eukaryota, Metazoa, Chordata, Aves, Passeriformes, Pipridae.
UCUGUGUCUCCCUGCUUAGCUACAUGCUGUCUUUGCUGCUUGUUUCUUAUCUUUUUGGCUUUCUGCCACAGUUCUCCAUUCACUGCUGCAGAGCGGAAG